Juglans microcarpa x Juglans regia is the source of this 710-nucleotide long non-coding RNA. RefSeq lists it as uncharacterized. NCBI's taxonomy places the organism in Eukaryota, Viridiplantae, Streptophyta, Magnoliopsida, Fagales, Juglandaceae. The transcript has 2 exons. The record is from RefSeq and is a predicted model, not a curated record.
AAACCCAACUGUUCUAAAUCCAUAAAUUAGAUGGAAGAGGCCGAAACUGGAAGGCAAUGAGCUUUAGACAAAGUCCAAUCCCAUCCCUGGUAAUCUCUGGACUCUGUGGAGAGGAACUCGAAACAGAAAGAGUGGAACACAGUACACAGAGCAGUGCGGAGUGAGCCAACCUUUGCUGACUCCUAAGCACGGAAGCGAGGCGUAGCCAUGAAAAUAGCCAAAUCAUCCUUUUACUUGAGAAGCAGCCCUACCUUCUUCAUGAACAUAGCCUAAUAAUUUCUUGCGCUAUUAAAAAAAUCCUUGUUUUUUUAAGCAAGUGUUUUUCUUUCUUUUUGAUCGAUAUGCAAUUUCAAAUACCCAGAUUGCGAAACUUGUCGAUGAUAAAAAAAAAUUCAUUGAUUUCAUCAGCUGCGCCAACUCAUUUUUCUUCGUUUCAUUCUACACCUACUUUAUAUCACCAGUGGAAGAACAAGGGGAAGUCAUUUUAAAUUCAGAGUUACAUCAGAUAUCCGGUACAUCAAAAGCGUGCUGACACAAACAGAGCACUUAAAGACCUCCUCUUCAAAAGUGGGUCCUCAAAGCUUUGGGUACACUUUGCCUACGUACAACUCUCUUUUGUUAAACACUACUGAUUCUUUAUUUGGUAUUUUUGGUGGAAUAUCACGUUAUCAUAACAUGGAUGUAUACAACUUUUAGCUUGUUGAUUCUAA